UACGUAGGUGGCAAGCGUUGUCCGGAAUAACUGGGCGUAAAGCGCAUGUAGACGGCAUGAUAAGCCAAAAUGGUGAAAAUGUAGGGGCUCAACCCCUGCACUGCGAUUGGAACUGUCAAGGCUUGAGUGCAGGAGAGGCAAAUAGGAAUUCCCAGUGUAGCAGUGAAAUGCGUAGAGAUUGGGAGGAACACCAGUGGCGAAGGCGAUUUGCUGGACUGCAAACUGACGUUGAGAUGCGAAAGCUAGGGGA
Molecule: ribosomal RNA, 250 nt
Filed under: uncultured prokaryote
Description: partial 16S ribosomal RNA
Rfam family: Bacterial small subunit ribosomal RNA
Source: RNAcentral